Molecule: long non-coding RNA, 7471 nt
Filed under: Fragaria vesca (wild strawberry)
Lineage: Eukaryota; Viridiplantae; Streptophyta; Magnoliopsida; Rosales; Rosaceae
Description: long non-coding RNA (FVES_LNC001405)
Source: RNAcentral
UAUGGCGGGAAAUCUUUGAUUCCCUCCAUAAUUUUCUAGUCUCAACUAGGUAAUUACCGGUGUAGCAAUACCUAGGGCUUCAAUAUAAAUUAGGGUUCCGAGUUUGAACACAUCCAUCCCCAUAUCGACUGCCUCAAGGUUCUCGUCCCCCCGUUACUGUGAUGUUUUCUGCUUUUCUUUCCUCUUGAUUUGACUGUGUUGGCUUUGUCUAAAACUCUAAAUCACCGAUCCUUCUGGUAUUAGUUUUAUUUUUAUUUUUAUUGCAGAUCACAGAACACAAUUGAAUUGCCCUCAAGUUGUAGGCGGAGAAGACCCUUGGCCUUGAUAGGACAGCAACAAAACAUAAGGUACUCUACGUACCUAAUUUUUUCUUCAAUUCUUUUCGUUUGAUAUUCUGAUGCUUCUAUGGAUUUCUAGGUUGCCCAGCAAAACUAAAUUGCCCCCUAAGUCACUCUGAAGAGACCUUUCGACACAGAAAAAAUUGAUUGAGGUAUUACCUUGGCUUAAAUUAUUCUUGGACUAAUCCUCUGACCCUUUUUGAAAGGCAAAAUUGACCAUUUGCCAAAGCUAAUGGCACUCAUGCAUGCACGUGGGUGAUCUUUAAUCACCUUGAAUACUCUUCUUAAUUCCCAUGGCAGCACCUCUUCUCCUUCAUUUUUAUUUACGCAGCAACCCUUUUCUUUUUUUUCUUUUUUCAGACUUUGGUAAUAAUUCGGUGGUAAUUGAAGAACGCGAACACCUAACCGCUUGAUUUGUUCCACUUCUUUGAUGUGGGAUAAGUCGUUCAAAGUGUUUAGGCUUUUCGUACCUUGGCGGCAAUUGAAAAACGCGAACACCUAACCAUUUGAUUUCUUCCAUCUCUUAGUCGUGGGAUUAAUAAUCGCUCAAAGUGUUUAGGCUUUGCGUACCUUGAUGGCAAUUGAAGAAUGCAAACACCUAACCGCUUGAUUUUUUUUCACCUCUUAGACGUGGGAUUAAUCGCUCAAAGUGUUUAGGCAUGCGUACCUUGAUGGCAAUUGAAGAACGCGAACACCUAACUAUUUGAUUUCUUCCACCUCUUAGACGUGGGAUUGAUCGCUCAAAGUGUUUAGGCUUUGUGUACCUUGAAGAUAAUAUGAAGAACACGAAAACCUAAACUCUUGAUUUGUUCCACCUCCUAGACGUUAGAUAAAUCAUUUAAAAGUGUUUAGGCUUUGCGUACCGUGAAGACAAUCUGAAGAGCGUGAAAACCUAUGUAAUACCCCGGAAAUUUGUUAUUAGUUUCUAAUAAUAAUUGGGAAUUUUCGAGUUUAAGUUAGUGUGUUUUGAGGUUCGAAGGAAGAUUGGAAGUGUUCGGAUGCAUAAGUUACCCGAAACGAUAUUUUGGUUUUGAAGGGUCAAGAGUUGACUUUCUAAUCUGUUGGGUUUCUCGAGAAACUUCCUUACGAAAGUUGUAGAGCACGAUGAUACGAGUUCGUAGACACGUGGCACGCAUAAAACGGACUUCGUAUGAGAAAGUUAUGGUCAGCAGAAGUUCAUGGCUUUACGAGAAUUUGGGGUUAAAUAAGAAAAGUUUAGGGUUUCCAUUUCAUUUUCCGGAACCCAUUUCUUCUCUCUUUUCCUUCUCUCUCGCGCCUCACCCUCAUUGUCCGAAAAUCCCUUUCGACCCGACCCAAACCCGGCCGACCCGACCCGACUUUUUCGGCCACCUCGGACCGACCUAGACGCCGGCACCGGUUGGGUUUUCUUCCUCUCCUCCGUCCGAGCUGCCUUGUGGUGGUGGCUUGCGCCGAUUCUCAGCGGUGUGUGCGAUUCGAAGCUUGGAUGUUCGGGUUAGAGACCCGAACGAAAUUCUCACCUCCGGCGGUGGCGACGCAGCUUGGAACCGGUCGGGAUAGAUGCUCCUUGGCGUCCUGGUUUUUUUUCUGGUAGUCUUCUAGUGCGACUCACGGCGGAGAGUGACGGUGGUGGAUUCCAAACUUUCAAGCGAGUUUCCAGUGUUUUCCUACCGAUUCCAGCCGAAUUGGUUCAACCGUCAGGUAUAAAAGUUGUUUCCCUUUCUUCAAUCUACAAGUUUGCUGUUGGAAGUUUGUUGAGAUUUUGAAGUUGCUGGGGUGGCGCGUGGGGCCCACUCGUCGCCGUCUAUGGUGGAACGUGGCGGCGCGUCCGACAGGGGUUGGGAGGUUAGGAGUAACUGUUAGCUUAUGUUCGUCGAUACAAGCACGUUGACAUAUCAUGAGGUUAUGUUAUGAUCAAGUUUUGCAUCCUAGGUUUAAGAGAAUCGUGAGAGAUUGUUAAGCUUUGGUGUUUGAGCUUUGAAAUUCUUGUUAGCUAUUUCAAUAGGUUGGUUAAGGGUUCCUAUGACCUUGGGAGGUCUCGGAAGAAGGUUGUCCCUUUUUGGGCAAAUCUUAGGUUAAGGCUUGUUAAGGGUGCAAUGUUCUUUUUGUUUAAGUGGUUAUUAAAGUUAUUAAUUGUGUUAAAUAGGUAGCGUGUGGAGUUGAUAUUUAAGCUUGGCUCUUGUGUUGUGUUGAAGACACAGCGGGAAUUUAGGUGAGUAAAAUCUCACCAAGGUUCACUUUGUGACAUAUUUAUUUAUGGUUAUUAUGAUGAUGAUAAUUAUUAUGAUGAUGAUUAUGAUGAUGAAAAUGUUGAUGAUGAAGAUUUAAAAACUAUGUUUUUCUUUUUGCUUGUUUUAAAAUAUAUGAGUUUAAUCGCCAACGACUCAUAGGUAAGAAAAAACAAGUUUUUAUAUUUAAAUGAUUAUUUUUAAGGUUCUUGUGAUCAUAAUAUUUUAGUUCUUGGUAGAUUAUUCUUGUGGGAAUAUCUAUGAUUGUUCAUAUAAAUAUAUCUAUGUGGAAGAAUAUAAUUUUUAUGAUGUGCUCUUUGUGUUGUUGAUGAUGAUAUUAUUAUAUUGUGAGUAAAUCUCACAUGGGUUCAUAAAGAAAUCGAGUUUAUUUUAUAGUUUAUUAUUGCUAAUUGUGAAGUUGUCCUUGAAAUGAAAUGAUUUUGUUUUUAAAUAUAAAUGAGCUUGAUCGUCAACGGCUCAUGGGUAAGUAAAAAUAUUUUUCUGAUAAAAAUAAAAUAUUUCAAAAGAACUUCUGAUCAUGGGUUAUUAGUUGUCGAUGUGUGUGUCUUAGUGGUAAUUGUGUGCAUUAGUUGUGGAACAGUGCCUUAGUGGUGAACUGGUGAUUGUGUGCAUUAGUUGUGGAUGUGUGUGUCUUAAUGAUGAUUGUGUGCAUUCGUUGUGGAAUGUGCCUUAGUAGUGAUUGUGUGUCUUAGUUGUGAAUGUGUGCCUUAGUGGUGAUUGUAUGCAUUAGUUGUGGAUGUGUGUCUUAGUGGUGAUUGUGUGCAUUAGAUUAGGAGUCUUCGUGGUGGACCGGGAACCAAGCCUUGGCCGGGUGAUUGAUUACGGUCAGUAUAGAGCUCUAGUUUGUCUGUCGGUACUUCAUGGGGGAUGACUAAGUGUCAACGAACCCAUGCGUACGCGUUUGUUUGGUUACUUAUGAGGGAUGACUAAGUGUUGACGAACUCAUAAGUAAGAGUAGAGAAAUGAUUAUGUGAUGUUCUUAUGUGUUGUCAUUUAAAUUCCUUGCUUUGAGUAUCUCCUGAACUAUGCUUAUCCGCAGGAGAUUCUAAAUCUUUACUUGUGAUUUUUAGUGAAUUCCUGAACUACAUUUUUUUGCAGGAUUCAUUUAUGAUUUUAAUUAUUUGUGGAUGGUUGUGUUUUCUUAUUUACUCUAUUUUAAAUUCUCUCAUUUUUAGGCAAUUCCUGAACUAAGUUUAUAAGCAAGAAUUACUGAUGUUUAUCUUGUGAUGUUAGGUUGAGUUCUUUAAUGUAGAUUUACUCAUAUGAGCUUUUAAAGCUUACCGAGUUUGUUGUUUACAACCCGGUACACCAAUCCAGGGUGUAGAGGUUGAUUUUGCAGGUCAGGUUUAGCAGAGUUAAGGCUGCGGCAAUUAGGUAAUUUUUCUUUUUGUUUACUUUCUAGUUGUUGUGAGUAUUGAGAGAGUUUUACUUUGUUCAAAAUUAUUUUCCACAAGUUGUAAAACUAAAUUGUUGUAGUGAUUGUUUUUCUUUUUUGGUUAUUAUGCCUUGAAUUUGAAAUUUUUUAUUUAUCCAAAAUUUAGGGUGUGACAACCUAAACGCUUGAUUUGUUCCACUUUCUGAAAGCGGGAGGAAUCACUUAAAGUGCUUAGGCUCUACGUAUUUUUCGACCGCGCAAGGAAGAGUAGAAAUCCUGAGAUUGCACAAAGUCAUCCUCUUUCAAGUUUUGUAUGUCUCUUCUUUAACAUGGAAAACACUUCGAGCAAAUUCAUUUCCUUGUUUUGAUAUGGCAGUACUCUAUACAACCCGAGCAAACUCAUUUUCUUACUUUGUUAUGACUGGACUUAGAAGCAUCUUCCAAGCUGCCUACGUACUCUUACGAGAAAGAGAUCAAGUCACGACGUAGUUCAAGGAUUUUUUUAUAUUUUUUUAGGUGUCGUACGCAGUUUAUGCUCGUGGGGGCAAGGAGCAUUUUUUUUUUUGUGCCUUGUGCAGUUGAGGCUCAUGCAGGCUAGGAGUUGUUUUUUUUUUUCUUUUUUUUGGUUGUCAUUUGCAAUUUAAGCUCGUGCAGACAAGGAGCGAUAAUUUUUUUUUGUUUUUUGUUUUUUUUUGUGUGUCAUUCGCAGUUUAAACUAGUGCGGACAAGAAACAUUUUGACUCUUGAGUGGUCUACAUAAAUUUAGACGGGUUGCAUGCCCCUAACAAAGGUGUUGAGGACACCACUUCAAGGUGUUCAAAAAAGAUGGUUGCAUAAUUUGACUAAGCCACGUCAUCUUCAACAUCUAAACAUAUCUUUCCUUGUUGUGCUAGCUUCAUGAUGAGGUCUUUCAAGACGAAGCCCUUCUCCAGGAUGACCGAUGACACGGUGGUACUUGUAAUACUUAGGAUCAUUGACACGAUGCAUCUCUUCUGGACGCUUGCAGUCUGGCAAUUUGAUUAGUUCUUUUUCAAGCAAGUUUUCCAACAUCUCAACAACAUCGAAAUCUGGAAAAGGGUAACUUUUAGCUUCCAAGUCAUUUAGAGUUUGCCUCCUUGCUUGAUCUUGCAGGAGUUGUACUGAUUGCCAAAGACUCUUGAUUCUCUGGUUCUAUGAUGUCACAUUUUCUUUGGCCAUGACUAGCCAAACUGAGUUCCAUGUCAUGAGCUCGGGUAGCAAGUUCUUCAAAGGUGCGAGGCUUUAUCCCUUGAAAAAUGUACAACAAAUCCCAAUGCAUGCCUUGAAUACACAUCUAUACCGCUGACAAUUUUAAGAGUCGGUCUUUGCAGUCGAGACUUAGUGUACGCCAACGAUUGAUGAACUCUACAGCAGGCUCGCCAUUUUGUUGUUUGGUGUUGGUGAGCUCUAACAUACUCACCAUGCGACGUGUGUUGAAGAAGUGGUUCAAGAACUCCUUUUCCAUUUGCUCCCAGCUGUCAAUGAAUUCAGGCUCCAAGUCUGUAAACCAUUUAAACUCCGUGCCUUGGAGUGAGCGAACAAAUUGCUUCACAAGAUGAUCACCAUCGGUGCCAGUGUUGUUGCAUGUUUCGAUGAAAUGUGCGAUGUGUUGCUUUGGGUUACAUUUGCCAUCAAAUUGUUAAAACUUGGGAGGUUGGUAACCAGUUGACAUUCUCAAAUUGUCUAGCCGCUUGGUGUAAGACUUGGAAUACGUUAGUGUAUCUCGAGGCGAACCACCAUAUUGAGCUUUGAUUGUCUUGGCAAUCAUGUCUUGAAGCUGUUGAACUAACAAUGAAGCUAGGAUGGAAUUUGAUUCUCCUUUUUGCUCGGAAGAUGAUCCACUAGACUUGUCUUUCUUAUCGCCAUGAAGGUUAUUCUCCGAGUCAUUGUCGUGGUGAACUUCUAGCUUCUCCAUGAGUGAUGCAAUUUCUACAUCCUUCUCUUCAAUGGUCUUUUGGAGCUUCUUCACCGCUUCAGUCAACUGGGCUAUUUGGGCCGCUUGUUCUUCCAUGUUGAUCACUUCUAUCACCAUGACUUGCAUGGCGCAAGAGUCGUCUUCUAGAAUCGCUUCAAUUUGAUUGUCAAGAUGCAAUUCCAAGUGUGGACAUAUCUUCGAAUCAACUUUGGUUGUGGGCGAAGGAGAAUGUUUCCUCGAGUUGCCUGACGAUGUUAAAAGUCUUUGCUUCGUGAGGUUUGCCACCAUUGUUGUCCAAACGUCGAUCAGCUGAAACUGCUUUGAGGAAUGAAGGUUGAAUGUUGUGAGUUGAAAUGACUCACUAUGAGCAACAUGAUCGCUAAGGUUUCUACUGCUUUUCAGAGUAGCUAUAUAGCUACCUUGUUGGUCUUGUUUUUCGAUUUGAUUUGCACCAUCUUUGAAGCCAUGUGAUGAGGAUGGCGAGAUUGUCGGAGGAGGAGAUGAGAGGCAGAGAUGGUCUCACUGGGCGUGCCAAUUUUGUAAACACGAAAAUUUCUGUAACGAAUAACAGAAAGACAUGUGUACAAAAUAAUAUAUUUGUAUUGAUUGAAUUUGCGGGUUACAAUCUCUGUGGGUAUUCUUUUAACAAGAAUGUCCUCUGAUUCGAUCUCCAUCGUUGAUUUGAUCCAAGGGUGACGAGCACUUGAUCUUGAAUUGAACUGUUGUAGUUUGAACUUCUUAUCGUGUUGACGAUUUGUAGAAGGAAGUUGACCAAGGGCCGUAGAGGCUUGAUCUUGGUCGAAUUUGGGUCGAGAAAGGUGUCACGUGGUGAACGUUCUUCGGCUUGAUAGCGGAUGAAUCGGCACGUGUGUUUGGUGCUUGUUGAUUCUCCAACAGCUUGUUGAAGAACUUGGUAAAAGUUUUGAUUUGUUGAAAGGCUUGAAGACGAGGGUUGAUCAAAGGCCGUAGAGGCUUGACAUUGAUCGGGUUUGGGCCACGAGCAGUUCCACGUGGUGGUUGCUCUUCGUCUUGUAGUUGGUGAAGAUGUCGGCUAUUUGACAAUUUGGGACUCUUCGGGAUUUGACAACUUCUAGGUUUGAGGUUGAUGAAGAAUCGACUAUUUGACAGCUUGAUAAUUCUUCAAGGGUUCUGGGAGAAUUCUGAGCUCUCGAGAGUAAUUUUUCUCUCUUGUCCGGAAGUCCUCUUCUUGAUAUGAGAGAGGGGUAUUUAUAGUGUCGACGUUCCUCCGUUUAUGGAAUGUUUUGAAGACAGUGUUUUAAUUGUAUUUCCUUAACAGUAUAAUUAAAUCAAUCAGUUUUGAUUGAUUGAUCUAAUUAUAAUUAUUAACAUAAUUAAAUCAGUCUGUAUUUAUUGAUUGAUUCGAUUAUGACUGAUAAAGUAUUUUGCUAAUUUGAUUAAAUGUUCGACUUCCUUUCCGAUAAUCAAUUUAAUUUGAUUGAAAUUUGAUUAUCGAUUGACAUUUAAUAUUUACUUUUAGUCGGAAUUGAUGAUUUUUGUUGUCGACUGAUCAUUCACACGUGACCACAUGUCAUUUUCGAAGACUUUAUAAUUUUUCCAACUGACGAACCACAUAUGC